UCUAACAUGUACGCGAGUCAUUGGGACUUUAAAGCCUAAAGGCGUAAUGAAAGUGAAGGUCGGCCCUAGUGUCGACCGAUGGAGGAUGGCUCGCGUCACGAUGCGAGCCCGCACUCCAGGGGCGUCUCGUGCUCAUUGCGAGCAGCGGCGCACCCAGAGCGUACACGUUGGGACCCGAAAGAUGGUGAACUAUGCCUGGUCAGGACGAAGUCAGGGGAAACCCUGAUGGAGGUCCGUAGCGAUUCUGACGUGCAAAUCGAUCGUCGGAACUGGGUAUAGGGGCGAAAGACUAAUCGAACCAUCUAGUAGCUGGUUCCCUCCGAAGUUUCCCUUAGGAUAGCUGGCACUCGCUUGAGCGAGUCUCAUCUGGUAAAGCGAAUGAUUAGAGGCCUUGGGGCCGAAACGACCUCAACCUAUUCUCAAACUUUAAAUGGGUGAGAUCUCUGGCUUUCUUGAACGUUGAAGCCACGAGAAUUCAUGGAUCAGAGUGCCAAGUGGGCCAAUU
Molecule: ribosomal RNA, 505 nt
Filed under: Torymidae gen. n. cf. Monodontomerus sp. PJ0031
Lineage: Eukaryota; Metazoa; Arthropoda; Insecta; Hymenoptera; Torymidae
Description: LSU rRNA
Rfam family: Eukaryotic large subunit ribosomal RNA
Source: RNAcentral